RNAcentral lists this microRNA precursor (94 nucleotides) under Cricetulus griseus (Chinese hamster). Its description in RNAcentral is "mir-344". The record is from RNAcentral. Lineage: Eukaryota; Metazoa; Chordata; Mammalia; Rodentia; Cricetidae.
UUCUCUGGGGUUGUUUACAGUCUGGCUUUGCCUAAAGUCCAUCUCUUAGCUGGACUUUAGCCAGGAACCUGACUGGAAAAAUCCUUCAGUACCC